This 301-nucleotide ribosomal RNA is filed under the name uncultured bacterium. RNAcentral describes it as "partial 16S ribosomal RNA". It matches the Rfam family "Bacterial small subunit ribosomal RNA", at positions 509 to 807 of the family's 1533-position model. The record is from RNAcentral.
CAGCCGCCACGGUAAUACGGAGGGGGCUAGCGUUGUUCGGAAUUACUGGGCGUAAAGCGCACGUAGGCGGCUUGGUAAGUUAGAGGUGAAAGCCUGGAGCUCAACUUCAGAAUUGCCUUUAAGACUGCCGAGCCGGCAGGUGAGAGAGGUAAGUGGAAUUCCGAGUGUAGAGGUGAAAUUCGUAGAUAUUCGGAAGAACACCAGUGGCGAAGGCGGCUUACUGGCUCAUACUGGACGCUGAGGUGCGAAAGCGUGGGGAGCAAACAGGAUUAGAUACCCCUGUAGUCCCUGUCUCUUAUAC